UGCCUUGAAAACCUCUAUCCAAUA
RNAcentral lists this ribosomal RNA (24 nucleotides) under Thelotrema lepadinum. Its description in RNAcentral is "partial 28S ribosomal RNA". The record is from RNAcentral. Lineage: Eukaryota; Fungi; Ascomycota; Lecanoromycetes; Ostropales; Graphidaceae.